AUGGAGGAGCCGAGGCCUCCCCGCCCUCCUCGCCCUCCUCUCCUACCUGUCCCCGGGGCCGGAGGGAGGCUGUCUGGCGGCGCCGCGGCAGGAGGCGGGCGGCUGGACUCGGCGCUGCCGCCUGUGGGCGGUGCUGAGGGGGGACCCGCGCUGCGCCCCGCCCGCCGGCUGACUGGGGUUGACCUGGCCGCCACAUGCUUAAGCGACCUCAAAGGAAGAGAAGAGAAAUCUGCUAGAAUUCCGCUGAGAGCAAGAUGGGCUGUUCCUUUACGUAAGAAAGGCAGAGGAACUUCAUACAGCAAAAACUUUCCCCUAGGUGGCACCACGACCCACAGAACAGCUCACGUAGACCAGAACAAGCGACUUGUGACUGAAGAUGUGUCUGCUGAGUGAUGCAAACACAUUUUCAAACACUAUUUGGUUGCCCUUCCUUUGAACACUUGUAGCAUUUCUCCAGACAGCAUUCUUGUCCUGCUAGAUCACAAAUGCUGGUGAUUAGAACAUGGUCAACAAAUGAUUUUAGUAGUAUGAACUACUCAUUACUUGCAAAAUUAACUUGGAAGUAUCUCGUUUAGAUAAUUUAAUUCCUUUGCAUUAAAGGGAAGGAGGACACUGACACUUUGUGUCCACAGACUGUGGCAUUCUUGUGCUCGCUUGGGUAACAAAGAGCUACUGUUGUCUGUGUAAGAGCUUCAUGUUACUACAUGCUUCAUUGAGAUCCUACCAGGGCUCCCGUCCUGGUCCUGCUAUGCUGCCAGUGUUGCAAGUUUGCAUCUCUCACAUUGUUUCUCUAGCUGUUAAGUAUAAAUACCUGUGAGGUAUGUGAAAGCUCUGCUGCUCAAAUGUACUGAGAUUAAGCCUAAAGGAUUUAAGCUGAUGCUCUGAAAAGGCACAUAACCAACUCUUCUAAGAGGAAUGUGCUGUGUCAUUAACUACAUGGCUUGUAUUUAUACUCAAUCUGAAGAAAGCAUUCCAGUGCUUCUUUGGAUUAGAUGGCAAAAAAUGAUGGGGGGGGGGGGGGGGGGGGGGGGGGGGGGGGGGGAAAGGGGGGGGGAAAAAAAAAAAGGGGGAAGGAGGAGAAGCUGGAGGGGAAGGAGAAAAAAGAAAAACGCUAGUCCUAGCCCACAGCUUUGUUACAGACGUUCAUAACUGGAUAUGAGUAUGAGAUACUUUAGUAAGUAACCGAUGUCCAUGUUUAGAUUUCAUAAGGCAAGAACGUGUAUGUUGCAGUGAGCUAUUCUAGAGCCAGUGUUUCAGCCACUACUGGAACAAAAAUGGGCAUGAUAUACCUGAUGUGCUGGCACGGGAGACGGUGUUUGUCUGCAGCAGCUGCUCUGCUUUCAUGGUUCCCAAACAGCACAUGUGCUGGUUUACUUCAGGUGGAAGAAACAUUCUGUCUUCUGAGAGAUGACACUAAAAUAACAGCAGAUAUUUGGGAUAAAGAGGAAUUAUGGUUCUUUUGCAGCUAGUGUUAUGUUGAUGGUAGAGCUGAAAUUGAAAGGCAAUGUGAUAUCUACCUGCUGCCCAGUCCUACAGGUUGUUUGAGAAUUUUGGCAUAAUGCAAAUGGUGAUGGAAUUAUUCUUGUCUCCGGAUGUAAUAGUGUCUCAAAAAAUUUGAUAUUAUGAAAAACUUUUGCAGUUUUCUAUUUGAAGCAUGAUACAGUUAUGUUUUGUUGUUGUUGUUUGUUUAUGUUUGGUUUGUUUUUUAAUGGUUUUACUGAUUUUAAAAUAAAUAAAAAAUGUAUUUUGGGAGUUAAUGUGAUUAACAUAGAUCAGAACUGUGUCUUAGAAUGCUCGUCUUGCAGACUUCCACAGCCUAACUGGGUAUAAAGGAACAAUCACCAUGCAGGCAGUUUAUUUCUGCCACAUAAAAAUAUGACUUAGAAUUGACAGUAAGGAACAAAUAAAGAAAUGAAUAUGAAUGGGAAUGCUUCUAAAUCUGUAAUUCUUAGAGAAAGAAUCGUUCUUGAUUUUAAUAUCUGCAUGGUUGCAGCUGUCCUCUAUUUGCUAUCAGUUGCAGAAUCGAUGUUAGCAAAACUCUAAAAUGCUUUUUUUCCACGUAUCUUCUUCCUGCUUGUCUUCAUCUGCUAGACUGAUUUGUCAUGCCUGCCUACAUCACAAACUACCAAGGUGUAGAGCUGGCGCUGUGAAGCUGGUGUGCACAGGGUAUGUAUUGCAGGGGGUCACACUGCCUCUGAUCUAAUCCCACAGGGUCUGGUUCAUGUCCUACAAUUACUUGCUUCAAAAGAUCCUAACCUGAACUAAACCACCAGUAUAGAUGCAACCUGUAUCCACUGUAUCUGAGAGCACCAAACUGACGAUGUCCAAUAAGCAAAAUGUAGCUUAAGGUCUAUUCACACACAGAUGCUUUUGGGCAUUUUUAACAGGCCCUCAUUGCCUUGUUACGCUUCAGAAAAAGUGACAGUGCAACCUCACAACAGCGAUGGCAUGUUGGAUGCCUGUUGUGCCUAGGCUUUUUUUUGUCAGAAAGAGAAUUCUUGUUGAACAGCAAAUUCUCGUUCCUUUUCUAUCAAUAUAUUACUUUACUGCUCAUCUAAUCUGUUUUCUCAAACAGAUCUGAUUUAUGUGAUUGCUUAGUAAGGCAAAAUCUUGCCAAGUUACUUCCUUCUGUUUUAAUAAAGCGUUGAUCUUGUGAGUUGAAAUUCAUAUCUGGAAAGACAAUAUUCUUCUGCAGCUAAAUUGUGUCAUGCUAUGAUCAGCGUUGUGUUGAUCAGAAAUGUGGUGCUGGGGGCCAACAUUUCUUUCUGAGUUCUUGUUGUGGUUCCAGUUCACAGAUUUAGAGAAAGCCCUAAAAGCAGGGGAUAGUCUUUUAGACUGACUGGUCUGGUACAAAUAUUCUGUAUUUAAUAUUAAUAUUUUGUAUAAUUUCAUUCCCAAUGUGCUGCCAAUGUUUUUGCCUAGGUGAUGGUUGGAUAUUAAUGACAGAAGUAACAGUAUGUGAGACCAGGAGCUCACUUGUAAAGAAAGAGGAAGUUAGGGCUGUGUGACAGAAAAUAUGACUCUGGACCAGGCUGGUCAAAGUGUCUUUUUUGGAUAGAGAAUUCAAGCUUUGAUCUUACCUUGAGGGUGCCCAGGAUCCUGGUGCCUGUAGUGCUCCCUGACAGGGCACGGGUUCACAGGGGCUCUGUAAAAAGUCAACUCAAGUGCCACAGCAAUUGUAAGUUCAGUAUCUCUGUUUGCUUUCUUUUGUUCCUUUUAUUUUGUUUCCAUUUUGUUAUAUUAUCCUCUUAUUUCUUAAAGUUCUGUUUCUUUUGAGUUCAUUUUUUUUCAGCUUAAGCAUUUAUCAAAAGCUUGAUACUUUGUAUGAAGAAGUUCAUGUCUGUUCUUUAAAUUUAAACUUUGAUUAAGCUGUGCAUUUCCCUUAUCAGUGUUGUAUCAGUAACCUCUAUAUAUCAGUAAAUAGGGUUUUAAUAUGAAAGAUGGCAUUUAUAUGAUCAAACCACCUUGAAAAGAGAUAUUUUGAGUAGGAAUUUAGUGUGUAAAAUAAAAAUUUCAGUCUUGUUUGCUUGUUUUUUGUUUUUUUUUUUUUUUUUCUGACUUCAGUAUUUUUAUAUUUAUAUAACAACUGACAUCUUACAGUAUAGUUCCCUUAAAUAUUUUGAUUCCUUCUGUGAACAUCGGCUAGAAGGAAGGCCAACAUUUAAAAACGUGGCUACAUAAGCUUUGCCUGUGAAAAUCUGAACAUUUUUAAUGUAUGAGCUCGCUGCUGAGAGCACCGACAGAAGUUUGUGGAAUGAGUCAGUCACAGAGCGCUAUCUGGAACAUGGAGCUGGCAAGUCUCUCACUACGAGCCUCAUCACAAGGAGGUGUUACCCCCUCUGGAAGGUGGCUUUGCUCUACUUUCUCAUUAGGCAUCUGCAUGCAUGAGGAAUGGAUCUAUAGAACUAAAUAAGUAAUAAUAAUCCUCUGCGGCAUUUAAACAGCUGGCAUGCUUGAAUUUCAAGUGUGCACAGAAACUACCAGAGUAAAACCUAAAUGUAGUUAAAUCUGUGCAGAGGCUGAAAAUAGCAGAUCUAGAUAUAAAUAUUUAAACCUACUUGAAGUCUGAUAUAUCAAUUUUGGCAGAGUUGAAGACAGCAGAGCCUAACAUGCUGUUAGUGCCUGUGAAAGUGGCACGGGGCAAAUGCAGCAUACCAAGGUUUUGCGGCUUUAGAUUUCCACAAGUGAAGUGUUUCUUCACCCAGUACUUCAAAUCUAAAGCUGUAAUGGUUUUUAACCUCAGGAGCUAUGGCUUCAUGUUGCCGUGAAAGACUUUGUAGUGGCUUCACAGUCCCAGUAUUUACCUGACCAUCACCUAUUACAUAUUCCUGCUGUUUAAAAUGGUUGUAACAUAAAUUACAAGCUGCCUGAAACAUUCAUUGUCCUCUCUAUGACACGAUAUUUUUCUGCUCAAAUAAACCAAACUUCCUUAGUAACUUGUAA
RNAcentral lists this long non-coding RNA (4443 nucleotides) under Cairina moschata (Muscovy duck). RNAcentral's name for it is "domestica (muscovy Duck (domestic type)) lncRNA (ENSCMMG00000002070.1)". Lineage: Eukaryota; Metazoa; Chordata; Aves; Anseriformes; Anatidae. The record is from RNAcentral.